GGGUGUGCGCCAACGCAGGAGGGUUGGGCCAGACUGUAAAUCUGGAGUCUACGGACUUAGCAGGUUCGAAUCCUGUCACACCCA
Arsenicibacter rosenii is the source of this 84-nucleotide transfer RNA. It matches the Rfam family "tRNA". From Rfam's summary of the family: Transfer RNA (tRNA) molecules are approximately 80 nucleotides in length. Their secondary structure includes four short double-helical elements and three loops (D, anti-codon, and T loops). Further hydrogen bonds mediate the characteristic L-shaped molecular structure. tRNAs have two regions of fundamental functional importance: the anti-codon, which is responsible for specific mRNA codon recognition, and the 3' end, to which the tRNAs corresponding amino acid is attached (by aminoacyl-tRNA synthetases). tRNAs cope with the degeneracy of the genetic code in two manners: having more than one tRNA (with a specific anti-codon) for a particular amino acid; and 'wobble' base-pairing, i.e. permitting non-standard base-pairing at the 3rd anti-codon position. The record is from Rfam. NCBI's taxonomy places the organism in Bacteria, Pseudomonadati, Bacteroidota, Cytophagia, Cytophagales, Spirosomataceae.